Molecule: ribosomal RNA, 880 nt
Filed under: Staphylococcus warneri
Lineage: Bacteria; Bacillati; Bacillota; Bacilli; Caryophanales; Staphylococcaceae
Description: bacterial SSU rRNA
Rfam family: Bacterial small subunit ribosomal RNA
Source: RNAcentral
CGCUGGCGGCGUGCCUAAUACAUGCAAGUCGAGCGAACAGAUAAGGAGCUUGCUCCUUUGACGUUAGCGGCGGACGGGUGAGUAACACGUGGAUAACCUACCUAUAAGACUGGGAUAACUUCGGGAAACCGGAGCUAAUACCGGAUAACAUAUUGAACCGCAUGGUUCAAUAGUGAAAGGCGGCUUUGCUGUCACUUAUAGAUGGAUCCGCGCCGUAUUAGCUAGUUGGUAAGGUAACGGCUUACCAAGGCAACGAUACGUAGCCGACCUGAGAGGGUGAUCGGCCACACUGGAACUGAGACACGGUCCAGACUCCUACGGGAGGCAGCAGUAGGGAAUCUUCCGCAAUGGGCGAAAGCCUGACGGAGCAACGCCGCGUGAGUGAUGAAGGUCUUCGGAUCGUAAAACUCUGUUAUCAGGGAAGAACAAAUGUGUAAGUAACUGUGCACAUCUUGACGGUACCUGAUCAGAAAGCCACGGCUAACUACGUGCCAGCAGCCGCGGUAAUACGUAGGUGGCAAGCGUUAUCCGGAAUUAUUGGGCGUAAAGCGCGCGUAGGCGGUUUUUUAAGUCUGAUGUGAAAGCCCACGGCUCAACCGUGGAGGGUCAUUGGAAACUGGAAAACUUGAGUGCAGAAGAGGAAAGUGGAAUUCCAUGUGUAGCGGUGAAAUGCGCAGAGAUAUGGAGGAACACCAGUGGCGAAGGCGACUUUCUGGUCUGUAACUGACGCUGAUGUGCGAAAGCGUGGGGAUCAAACAGGAUUAGAUACCCUGGUAGUCCACGCCGUAAACGAUGAGUGCUAAGUGUUAGGGGGUUUCCGCCCCUUAGUGCUGCAGCUAACGCAUUAAGCACUCCGCCUGGGGAGUACGACCGCAAGGUU